UUGACCAAUUGACCUCAAA
Molecule: ribosomal RNA, 19 nt
Filed under: Hymenochaete sp.
Lineage: Eukaryota; Fungi; Basidiomycota; Agaricomycetes; Hymenochaetales; Hymenochaetaceae
Description: partial 28S ribosomal RNA
Source: RNAcentral